Molecule: ribosomal RNA, 433 nt
Filed under: uncultured bacterium
Lineage: Bacteria
Description: partial 16S ribosomal RNA
Rfam family: Bacterial small subunit ribosomal RNA
Source: RNAcentral
GGGGGGGGGGGGGGGGGUGGGUGGGGGGUGCGGGGCUGCGGGGGCCUUCGGUUCUGGUGGCGCACGGGUGCGUAGCGCGUGGGAACCUGCCCUUAGUUUCGGCCUAACUCCCCGAAAGGGGUGCUCAUACCGGAUAAUGUCUUCGGACCAAAGAUUUAUCGCCUUUGGAUUGGCCCGCGUUGGAUUAUCUAGUUGGUAGGGUAAACGCCUACCAAGGCGACGCUCCAUAGCUGGUCUGAGAGGAUGAUCAGCCACACUGGGACUGAGACACGGCCCAGACUCCUACGGGAGGCAGCAGUGGGGAAUAUUGGACAAUGGGCGAAAGCCUGAUCCAGCAAUGCCGCGUGAGGGAUGAAGGCCUUAGGGUUGUAAAGCUCGUUUACCCGGGAUGAUAAUGACAGUACCGGGAGAAUAAGCUCCGGCUAACUCCGUG